This 292-nucleotide ribosomal RNA is filed under the name uncultured bacterium. Its description in RNAcentral is "partial 16S ribosomal RNA". It matches the Rfam family "Bacterial small subunit ribosomal RNA", at positions 505 to 796 of the family's 1533-position model. The record is from RNAcentral.
GUGUCAGCAGCCGCGGUAAUACGUAGGGGGCGAGCGUUGUCCGAAGUUACUGGGCGUAAAGCGCGCGUAGGCGGGCCGUUAAGUGGGAGGUGAAAGGCUGGGGCUCAACCCCAGCAGUGCCUCCCAUACUGGCGGUCUUGAGGGCGGUAGGGAGAAGUGGAAUGGCUGGUGUAGCGGUGAAAUGAGUAGAUAUCAGUCGGAACACCGGUGGCGAAGGCGGCUUCUUGGGCCGUUCCUGACGCUGAGGCGCGAAAGCUGGGGGAGCGAACGGGAUUAGAUACCCCAGUAGUCC